Non-coding RNA from Fukomys damarensis (Damara mole-rat), 548 nucleotides. The record is from the annotation of a RefSeq genome assembly. NCBI's taxonomy places the organism in Eukaryota, Metazoa, Chordata, Mammalia, Rodentia, Bathyergidae.
CCGUGGUGCCCAGCCUAUGCCCUUCAGUGAUUAGGACUGAGCACAGAGGGCUCACCAUGGAGCUUGUGCUGAGCUGGGUUUUCCUGGUUGCUCUUUUAAAAGGUGUGCAGUGUGAGGUGCAGCUGGUGGAGUCUGGAGGAGACUUGGUGCAGGCUGAGGGGUCCCUGAAACUCUCCUGUGUGACCUCGGGAUUCACCUUCAGCAAUUACUAUAUGUACUGGUUCCGCCAGGCUCCAGGAAAGGGCCUAGAGUGGGUUGGUUUCAUUAGAAACAAGGCUAAUAGUUAUACAACAGAAUAUGCUACAUCUGUGAAAGGCAGAUUCACCAUUUCCAGGGAUGAGGCCACAAGUACACUGUAUCUGCAAAUGAACAGCCUGAAAGUUGAGGACACAGCCGUGUACUACUGUGCUAGAGACACAGUGAGGCAACCUCAAUUUGAGCCCAGACACAAACUUCCCUGCUGUGGUGCGCAGGACCAGCAGGGGUCGCACAGGUCACACGGAGCUCAGUGUCAGCCCAGGACAGGUGCAGAGGGUGGCCCAGUGUGA